UGAGGAAUAUUGGACAAUGGAGGCAACUCUGAUCCAGCCAUGCCGCGUGCAGGAAGACGGCCUUAUGGGUUGUAAACUGCUUUUAUACAGGAAGAAUAAGGGGUAUGUAUACUUCGAUGACGGUACUGUAUGAAUAAGCAUCGGCUAACUCCGUGCCAGCAGCCGCGGUAAUACGGAGGAUGCGAGCGUUAUCCGGAAUCAUUGGGUUUAAAGGGUCCGUAGGCGGGCAUAUAAGUCAGAGGUGAAAUAACUGGGCUCAACCGAGUGGUUGCCUUUGAAACUGUAUGUCUUGAAUGUUUGUGAAGUGGCCGGAAUGUGUAGUGUAGCGGUGAAAUGCAUAGAUAUUACACAGAACACCUAUUGCGAAGGCAAGUCACUAACAAAUGAUUGACGCUGAUGGACGAAAGCGUGGGGAGCGAACA
Molecule: ribosomal RNA, 422 nt
Filed under: uncultured Flavobacteriaceae bacterium
Lineage: Bacteria; Pseudomonadati; Bacteroidota; Flavobacteriia; Flavobacteriales; Flavobacteriaceae
Description: bacterial SSU rRNA
Rfam family: Bacterial small subunit ribosomal RNA
Source: RNAcentral